This 800-nucleotide ribosomal RNA is filed under the name uncultured bacterium. RNAcentral describes it as "bacterial SSU rRNA". It matches the Rfam family "Bacterial small subunit ribosomal RNA", at positions 43 to 856 of the family's 1533-position model. The record is from RNAcentral.
CAGGCCUAACACAUGCAAGUCGAACGGGUUGUACUUCGGUACAGCUAGUGGCGGACGGGUGAGUAACACAUAGGAAUCUGCCCGAGAGUGGGGGAUAACCCAGGGAAACUUGGAUUAAUACCGCAUGAUCUCUACGGAGUAAAGCUGGGGACCUUCGGGCCUGGCGCUUUUGGAGGAGCCUAUGUCUGAUUAGCUUGUUGGUGAGGUAACGGCUCACCAAGGCGACGAUCAGUAACUGGUCUGAGAGGACGACCAGUCUCACCGGAACUGAGACACGGUCCGGACUCCUACGGGAGGCAGCAGUGGGGAAUAUUGGACAAUGGGCGAAAGCCUGAUCCAGCAAUGCCGCGUGUGUGAAGAAGGCCUUCGGGUUGUAAAGCACUUUAGGAUGGAAAGAAAAAACUUCAGUUAAUAGCUGAAGUCUUGACGGUACCAUCAGAAUAAGCACCGGCUAACUCUGUGCCAGCAGCCGCGGUAAUACAGAGGGUGCAAGCGUUAAUCGGAAUUACUGGGCGUAAAGCGCGCGUAGGCGGCUGAUUAAGUCGGAUGUGAAAGCCCCGGGCUCAACCUGGGAACUGCAUACGAUACUGAUCGGCUAGAGUAUGAGAGAGGGAGGUAGAAUUCCACGUGUAGCGGUGAAUGCGUAGAUAUGUGGAGGAUACCGGUGGCGAAGCGGCCUCCUGGCUUAUACUGACGCUGAGUGCGAAAGCGUGGGGAGCAAACAGGAUUAGAUACCCUGGUAGUCACGCGUAACGAUGUCACUAGCGUCGUGACCUAGUGUCAUGGUGGCGCCAGCUACG